RNAcentral lists this microRNA precursor (58 nucleotides) under Euprymna scolopes. RNAcentral describes it as "Esc-Mir-153-P18b_pre stem-loop". The record is from RNAcentral. Lineage: Eukaryota; Metazoa; Mollusca; Cephalopoda; Sepiida; Sepiolidae.
AAGCUUUUGUGAUUUAGCGAUUGUAGACUUAACUAAUUGCAUAGUCACAAAAGUGAUC